This 64-nucleotide transfer RNA is filed under the name Coptotermes michaelseni. RNAcentral describes it as "tRNA-Glu". It matches the Rfam family "tRNA". From Rfam's summary of the family: Transfer RNA (tRNA) molecules are approximately 80 nucleotides in length. Their secondary structure includes four short double-helical elements and three loops (D, anti-codon, and T loops). RNAcentral also lists the same sequence under 1 other name. The record is from RNAcentral. Lineage: Eukaryota; Metazoa; Arthropoda; Insecta; Blattodea; Rhinotermitidae.
AUUCAUAUAGUUUAAGAAAACAUUACAUUUUCACUGUAAAGAUAAAGUCCAACUUUUAUGAAUA